CAGCUACACAUGCAAGUCGAGCGGUAGCACAGAGAGCUUGCUCUCGGGUGACGAGCGGCGGACGGGUGAGUAAUGUCUGGGAAACUGCCUGAUGGAGGGGGAUAACUACUGGAAACGGUAGCUAAUACCGCAUAACGUCGCAAGACCAAAGUGGGGGACCUUCGGGCCUCAUGCCAUCAGAUGUGCCCAGAUGGGAUUAGCUAGUAGGUGGGGUAACGGCUCACCUAGGCGACGAUCCCUAGCUGGUCUGAGAGGAUGACCAGCCACACUGGAACUGAGACACGGUCCAGACUCCUACGGGAGGCAGCAGUGGGGAAUAUUGCACAAUGGGCGCAAGCCUGAUGCAGCCAUGCCGCGUGUGUGAAGAAGGCCUUCGGGUUGUAAAGCACUUUCAGCGGGGAGGAAGGCGUUAAGGUUAAUAACCUUGUCGAUUGACGUUACCCGCAGAAGAAGCACCGGCUAACUCCGUGCCAGCAGCCGCGGUAAUACGGAGGGUGCAAGCGUUAAUCGGAAUUACUGGGCGUAAAGCGCACGCAGGCGGUCUGUCAAGUCGGAUGUGAAAUCCCCGGGCUCAACCUGGGAACUGCAUUCGAAACUGGCAGGCUAGAGUCUUGUAGAGGGGGGUAGAAUUCCAGGUGUAGCGGUGAAAUGCGUAGAGAUCUGGAGGAAUACCGGUGGCGAAGGCGGCCCCCUGGACAAAGACUGACGCUCAGGUGCGAAAGCGUGGGGAGCAAACAGGAUUAGAUACCCUGGUAGUCCACGCCGUAAACGAUGUCGAUUUGGAGGUUGUGCCCUUGAGGCGUGGCUUCCGGAGCUAACGCGUUAAAUCGACCGCCUGGGGAGUACGGCCGCAAGGUUAAAACUCAAAUGAAUUGACGGGGGCCCGCACAAGCGGUGGAGCAUGUGGUUUAAUUCGAUGCAACGCGAAGAACCUUACCUGGUCUUGACAUCACACAGAAACUUACCAGAGAUGGAUUGGUGCCUUCGGGAACUGUGAGACAGGUGCUGCAUGGCUGUCGUCAGCUCGUGUUGUGAAAUGUUGGGUUAAGUCCCGCAACGAGCGCAACCCUUAUCCUUUGUUGCCAGCGGUUCGGCCGGGAACUCAAAGGAGACUGCCAGUGAUAAACUGGAGGAAGGUGGGGAUGACGUCAAGUCAUCAUGGCCCUUACGACCAGGGCUACACACGUGCUACAAUGGCAUAUACAAAGAGAAGCGACCUCGCGAGAGCAAGCGGACCUCAUAAAGUAUGUCGUAGUCCGGAUUGGAGUCUGCAACUCGACUCCAUGAAGUCGGAAUCGCUAGUAAUCGUAGAUCAGAAUGCUACGGUGAAUACGUUCCCGGGCCUUGUACACACCGCCCGUCACACCAUGGGAGUGGGUUGCAAAAGAAGUAGGUAGCUUAACCUUCGGAGCGCUACCACUUUGUU
This 1426-nucleotide ribosomal RNA is filed under the name Klebsiella quasipneumoniae subsp. quasipneumoniae. RNAcentral's name for it is "bacterial SSU rRNA". It matches the Rfam family "Bacterial small subunit ribosomal RNA". The record is from RNAcentral. Lineage: Bacteria; Pseudomonadati; Pseudomonadota; Gammaproteobacteria; Enterobacterales; Enterobacteriaceae.